RNAcentral lists this ribosomal RNA (253 nucleotides) under uncultured bacterium. Its description in RNAcentral is "partial 16S ribosomal RNA". It matches the Rfam family "Bacterial small subunit ribosomal RNA", at positions 524 to 776 of the family's 1533-position model. The record is from RNAcentral.
UACAGAGGUCUCAAGCGUUGUUCGGAUUCAUUGGGCGUAAAGGGUGCGUAGGUGGCGGGGUAAGUCAGGUGUGAAAUCUCGGAGCUCAACUCCGAAACUGCACUUGAUACUGCCUUGCUCGAGUACUGGAGAGGAGAUUGGAAUUUACGGUGUAGCAGUGAAAUGCGUAGAUAUCGUAAGGAAGACCAGUGGCGAAGGCGGGUCUCUGGACAGUUCCUGACGCUGAGGCACGAAGGUCAGGGGAGCAAACGGG